This 253-nucleotide ribosomal RNA is filed under the name uncultured bacterium. Its description in RNAcentral is "partial 16S ribosomal RNA". It matches the Rfam family "Bacterial small subunit ribosomal RNA", at positions 524 to 776 of the family's 1533-position model. The record is from RNAcentral.
UACGUAGGGCGCAAGCGUUGUCCGGAAUUAUUGGGCGUAAAGAGCUCGUAGGCGGCCUGUUGCGUCCGCUGUGAAAUCCCGGGGCUCAACCCCGGGCCUGCAGUGGAUACGGGCUGGCUAGAGGCAGGCAGGGGAGAACGGAAUUCCUGGUGUAGCGGUGAAAUGCGCAGAUAUCAGGAGGAACACCGGUGGCGAAGGCGGUUCUCUGGGCCUGUACUGACGCUGAGGCUCGAAAGCGUGGGGAGCAAACAGG